AACGAACGCUGGCGGCAGGCUUAACACAUGCAAGUCGAACGGGCGUAGCAAUACGUCAGUGGCAGACGGGUGAGUAACACGUGGGAACCUUCCUAGGGGGUACGGAACAACUCAGGGAAACUUGAGCUAAUACCGUAUACGUCCGUGAGGAGAAAGAUUUAUCGCCCUUAGACGGGCCCGCGUCGGAUUAGCUAGUUGGUGGGUAACGGCCUACCAAGGCGACGAUCCGUAGCUGAUCUGAGAGGAUGAUCAGCCACACUGGGACUGAGACACGGCCCAGACUCCUACGGGAGGCAGCAGUGGGGAAUCUUGGACAAUGGGCGCAAGCCUGAUCCAGCCAUGCCGCGUGAGUGAAGAA
Molecule: ribosomal RNA, 358 nt
Filed under: uncultured bacterium
Lineage: Bacteria
Description: bacterial SSU rRNA
Rfam family: Bacterial small subunit ribosomal RNA
Source: RNAcentral